RNAcentral lists this ribosomal RNA (450 nucleotides) under uncultured Glomus. Its description in RNAcentral is "SSU rRNA". It matches the Rfam family "Eukaryotic small subunit ribosomal RNA", at positions 569 to 1023 of the family's 1831-position model. Lineage: Eukaryota; Fungi; Glomeromycota; Glomeromycetes; Glomerales; Glomeraceae. The record is from RNAcentral.
AGCAGCCGCGGUAAUUCCAGCUCCAAUAGCGUAUAUUAAAGUUGUUGCAGUUAAAAAGCUCGUAGUUGAAUUUCGGGAUCAAUUUGCUGGUCGUGCCUCUGGUACGUACUGGUAUUAUUGGUUUCUCCCUUCUGACGAACCAUGAUGUCAUUAAUUUGAUGUCGUGGAGAAUCAGGACUGUUACUUUGAAAAAUUAGAGUGUUUAAAGCAGGCAUUAGCUUGAAUACAUUAGCAUGGAAUAAUGAAAUAGGACGUUUGAUCCUAUUUUGUUGGUUUCUAGGAUUGACGUAAUGAUUAAUAGGGAUAGUUGGGGGCAUUAGUAUUCAAUUGUCAGAGGUGAAAUUCUUGGAUUUAUUGAAGACUAACUACUGCGAAAGCAUUUGCCAAGGAUGUUUUCAUUAAUCAAAGAACGAAAGUUAGGGGAUCGAAGACGAUCAGAUACCGUCGUAG